UUGAAAGGGAAACGAUGGAAGUCAGUCGUACCUGCGGGAUAAUCAGCCUUUCGAGUAUGAUUCUGUGGAGUGUAAGGAGUUUAACCGUCUUCAUACCUGCAUAUUCGUGCGCUUUGGGUGUACUUGUCCGUAUGGUAGGUUAACAUCAAUUUUGGUCGUUAUAAAAUGACUAGGGGAAUGUAGCUUUGAUCCCGUAUUGAAGUGUUAUAGCCUCUGGUAAAUGCAGUGACUAGGAUUGAGGAUUGCAACGGAUACCUUUCGGGGCUACUCGUCUGAUCUCUGGAAGUUACUUUGGUGCUAAAAGCUUGCUUAUGGUUAUCGAAGUUGACGGUCAAUAGGUUAGAACGAGUUAAAUUCGUUAAGGAUGUUGACGUA
RNAcentral lists this ribosomal RNA (375 nucleotides) under uncultured Glomeromycotina. Its description in RNAcentral is "LSU rRNA". Lineage: Eukaryota; Fungi; Glomeromycota. The record is from RNAcentral.